CCUACGGGGGGCUGCAGUGGGGAAUAUUGCACAAUGGGCGCAAGCCUGAUGCAGCCAUGCCGCGUGUGUGAAGAAGGCCUUCGGGCUGUAAAGCACUUUCAGCGGGGAGGAAGGCGGUGAGGUUAAUAACCUCAUCGAUUGACGUUACCCGCAGAAGAAGCACCGGCUAACUCCGUGCCAGCAGCCGCGGUAAUACGGAGGGUGCAAGCGUUAAUCGGAAUUACUGGGCGUAAAGCGCACGCAGGCGGUCUGUCAAGUCGGAUGUGAAAUCCCCGGGCUCAACCUGGGAACUGCAUUCGAAACUGGCAGGCUAGAGUCUUGUAGAGGGGGGUAGAAUUCCAGGUGUAGCGGUGAAAUGCGUAGAGAUCUGGAGGAAUACCGGUGGCGAAGGCGGCCCCCUGGACAAAGACUGACGCUCAGGUGCGAAAGCGUGGGGAGCAAACAGGAUUAGAUACCCCAGUAGUC
This 465-nucleotide ribosomal RNA is filed under the name uncultured Klebsiella sp. Its description in RNAcentral is "bacterial SSU rRNA". It matches the Rfam family "Bacterial small subunit ribosomal RNA", at positions 338 to 795 of the family's 1533-position model. Lineage: Bacteria; Pseudomonadati; Pseudomonadota; Gammaproteobacteria; Enterobacterales; Enterobacteriaceae. The record is from RNAcentral.